CACAAGGUAUUGGUAUUACCU
This 21-nucleotide microRNA is filed under the name Pan troglodytes (chimpanzee). RNAcentral describes it as "ptr-miR-624". Its record names the gene ptr-miR-624. Lineage: Eukaryota; Metazoa; Chordata; Mammalia; Primates; Hominidae. RNAcentral also lists the same sequence under 2 other names. The record is from miRBase by way of RNAcentral.